Gemmatimonadetes bacterium GWC2_71_9 is the source of this 87-nucleotide non-coding RNA. The record is from Rfam. Lineage: Bacteria; Pseudomonadati; Gemmatimonadota.
GGACAGGUGGCCGAGUGGUUGAAGGCGCCGGUCUCGAAAACCGGUGGGCCCGUAAGGGUCUCGUGAGUUCGAAUCUCACCCUGUCCG